This 274-nucleotide ribosomal RNA is filed under the name uncultured bacterium. RNAcentral's name for it is "partial 16S ribosomal RNA". It matches the Rfam family "Bacterial small subunit ribosomal RNA", at positions 523 to 796 of the family's 1533-position model. The record is from RNAcentral.
AUACGGGGGGUGCAAGCGUUAAUCGGAAUUACUGGGCGUAAAGCGCGCGUAGGCGGUUUGCUCAGUCGGAUGUGAAAGCCCAGGGCUCAACCUUGGAACUGCAUACGAUACUGGCAAACUAGAGCGUGAGAGAGGAUAGAGGAAUUUCCGGUGUAGCGGUGAAAUGCGUAGAUAUCGGAAGGAACAUCAGUGGCGAAGGCGACUGUCUGGCUCAACACUGACGCUGAGGUGCGAAAACGUGGGUAGCAAACAGGAUUAGAUACCCUAGUAGUCC